This is a long non-coding RNA of Gadus macrocephalus (Pacific cod), 484 nucleotides long. RefSeq lists it as uncharacterized. The transcript is spliced from 2 exons. NCBI's taxonomy places the organism in Eukaryota, Metazoa, Chordata, Actinopteri, Gadiformes, Gadidae. The record is from RefSeq and is a predicted model, not a curated record.
UUCCCCGAAAGCAUCUUUAGCCUAAGUGGAUCGCAGAGUGGGUCGUAAGAGCAUCGUACAGUUUUCACACCGUUUCCCGAAAGCAUCUUUGAGCCUCGUUAGGCUACUAUAGCCUCAGUGGCGUAGCCAGCGGACAUUCCUAGUAUUGGAUGCGUUUUAUUAUAACACAUUGGUAAUGGUGUAUCACGUGCGUCUGAGCCUAAUGUGGGCCAUUAUGUUCUUAGUUUGAGAGAGACAGUCCAGGAAAUGUUUGAGCAGGCAGGGCACUUAAAAUGUGUGAGAGAAAGUGGGGGGGAUUUGUGCAGACUGACAUAGGCUACUCAUAAAACGUAGCAUAAAAUAAUGUAAAAAAAAAUAAAAAAUAAAAAAAUUAUAAAAAGAAAUAUUUUUUUUUAUAAAAAACAAGCAAAGGAGCAGGCAAAAGGCUGGGAUAUGGUGGGGAUUGGUCACGUUGACGGGAAUGUUUAGUGACAUGUGGGAGGGU